UACGUAGGGGGCUAGCGUUGUCCGGAAUCAUUGGGCGUAAAGAGCGUGUAGGCGGUCCGGUAAGUCCGUUGUGAAAGUCAGGGGCUCAACCCUUGAAUGCCGGCGGAUACUGUCGGGCUAGAGUCCGGAAGAGGCAAGUGGAAUUCCCGGUGUAGCGGUGAAAUGCGCAGAUAUCGGGAGGAACACCGGUGGCGAAGGCGGGUCUCUGGGCAGUAACUGACGCUGAGGAGCGAAAGCGUGGGGAGCGAACAGG
RNAcentral lists this ribosomal RNA (253 nucleotides) under uncultured bacterium. Its description in RNAcentral is "partial 16S ribosomal RNA". It matches the Rfam family "Bacterial small subunit ribosomal RNA", at positions 524 to 776 of the family's 1533-position model. The record is from RNAcentral.